Molecule: ribosomal RNA, 724 nt
Filed under: Acinetobacter baumannii Naval-18
Lineage: Bacteria; Pseudomonadati; Pseudomonadota; Gammaproteobacteria; Moraxellales; Moraxellaceae
Description: bacterial SSU rRNA
Rfam family: Bacterial small subunit ribosomal RNA
Source: RNAcentral
AUUGAACGCUGGCGGCAGGCUUAACACAUGCAAGUCGAGCGGGGGAAGGUAGCUUGCUACUGGACCUAGCGGCGGACGGGUGAGUAAUGCUUAGGAAUCUGCCUAUUAGUGGGGGACAACAUCUCGAAAGGGAUGCUAAUACCGCAUACGUCCUACGGGAGAAAGCAGGGGAUCUUCGGACCUUGCGCUAAUAGAUGAGCCUAAGUCGGAUUAGCUAGUUGGUGGGGUAAAGGCCUACCAAGGCGACGAUCUGUAGCGGGUCUGAGAGGAUGAUCCGCCACACUGGGACUGAGACACGGCCCAGACUCCUACGGGAGGCAGCAGUGGGGAAUAUUGGACAAUGGGGGGAACCCUGAUCCAGCCAUGCCGCGUGUGUGAAGAAGGCCUUAUGGUUGUAAAGCACUUUAAGCGAGGAGGAGGCUACUUUAGUUAAUACCUAGAGAUAGUGGACGUUACUCGCGGAAUAAGCACCGGCUAACUCUGUGCCAGCAGCCGCGGUAAUACAGAGGGUGCGAGCGUUAAUCGGAUUUACUGGGCGUAAAGCGUGCGUAGGCGGCUUAUUAAGUCGGAUGUGAAAUCCCCGAGCUUAACUUGGGAAUUGCAUUCGAUACUGGUGAGCUAGAGUAUGGGAGAGGAUGGUAGAAUUCCAGGUGUAGCGGUGAAAUGCGUAGAGAUCUGGAGGAAUACCGAUGGCGAAAGCAGCCAUCUGGCCUAAUACUGACGC